RNAcentral lists this ribosomal RNA (425 nucleotides) under uncultured bacterium. RNAcentral's name for it is "partial 16S ribosomal RNA". It matches the Rfam family "Bacterial small subunit ribosomal RNA", at positions 354 to 796 of the family's 1533-position model. The record is from RNAcentral.
GUGGGGAAUCUUGCGCAAUGGGCGAAAGCCUGACGCAGCCAUGUCGCGUGAAUGAUGAAGGUCUUAGGAUUGUAAAAUUCUUUCACCGGGGACGAUAAUGACGGUACCCGGAGAAGAAGCCCCGGCUAACUUCGUGCCAGCAGCCGCGGUAAUACGAAGGGGGCUAGCGUUGGUCGGAAUUACUGGGCGUAAAGGGCGCGGAGGCGGACAGUUUAGUCAGAGGUGAAAGCCCAGGGCUCAACCUUGGAAUGGCCUUUGAUACUGGCGUUCUUGAGUACGGGAGAGGUGAGUGGAACUCCGAGUGUAGAGGUGAAAUUCGUAGAUAUUCGGAAGAACACCAGUGGCGAAGGCGACUCACUGGCCCGUUACUGACGCUGAGGCGCGAAAGCGUGGGGAGCAAACAGGAUUAGAUACCCCAGUAGUCC